GAAGGUGUAGCUCAAAAAAGGCUUGUAGCUUUUAAGGUAGAGCGGCUGCAAAGCCGACUGGUUCUCGGUUCAAAUCCGAGCGCCUUCC
RNAcentral lists this transfer RNA (88 nucleotides) under Corynebacterium mustelae. Its description in RNAcentral is "Corynebacterium sp. 3105 tRNA". It matches the Rfam family "tRNA". Rfam says of the family: Transfer RNA (tRNA) molecules are approximately 80 nucleotides in length. The record is from Rfam by way of RNAcentral. Lineage: Bacteria; Bacillati; Actinomycetota; Actinomycetes; Mycobacteriales; Corynebacteriaceae.